GUCUAUAGCCAUACCACCCUGAAUGAGCCCAAUCUCGUCUGAUCUCAGAAGCUAAGCAGAAUUGAGCCUGGUUAGUACUUGGAUGGGAGAAAUGCAGAGUUUAAUGAAAAGAUGUAAUAGUUA
RNAcentral lists this ribosomal RNA (123 nucleotides) under Sorex araneus (European shrew). Lineage: Eukaryota; Metazoa; Chordata; Mammalia; Eulipotyphla; Soricidae. The record is from RNAcentral.